Molecule: ribosomal RNA, 492 nt
Filed under: uncultured bacterium
Lineage: Bacteria
Description: partial 16S ribosomal RNA
Rfam family: Bacterial small subunit ribosomal RNA
Source: RNAcentral
AGUGAACGCUGGCGGUAGGCCUAACACAUGCCAGUCGAACGGCAGCACAGUAAUAGCUUGCUCUUACGGGUGGCGAGUGGCGGACGGGUGAUGAAUACAUCCCUGUCUACUUGUUCUUGGGUGAGAACGUAGGGACACUUACGCUAUUACCGCAUACGACCUACGUGUGAAAGCAGGGGAUCUUCGGCCCUUGCGCGAUUGAAUGAGCGGAUGUCGGAUUAGCUAGUUGGCGGGGUAAAGGCCCACCAAGGCGACGCUCCGUAGCUGGUCUGAUAGGAUGAUCAGCCACACUGGAACUGAGACAAGGUCCAGAAUCCUAAGGGAGGGAGCAGUGGGGAAUAUUGGAAAAUGGGCGGAAGCCUGAACCAGCCAAACCGCGUGGGUGAAGAAGGCCUUCGGGUUGUAAAGCCCUUUUGUUGGGAAAGAAAAGCAGCAGGGUAAUACCCCGCUGUUCUGACGGUAACCAAAGAAUAAGCAACGGCUAACUUCGUG